Long non-coding RNA from Tupaia belangeri chinensis (Chinese tree shrew), 998 nucleotides. RefSeq lists it as uncharacterized. The record is from RefSeq and is a predicted model, not a curated record. The transcript has 3 exons. NCBI's taxonomy places the organism in Eukaryota, Metazoa, Chordata, Mammalia, Scandentia, Tupaiidae.
GAAGAUUCUGAACACUCUGUAGCCAGCACAGCGAGUUCCCAACCCGACCUGUGCACCUCUGACUGACCCAGGUAUCCAGGGAAAGGAGUUCUACCUGAAGCUCUCCUGAGUCUGAAGAUGAACCGAGCUUGAGCAGACCCUUGGCCUUGGUUCUGGUCCCCCUGGUAUGACUCCACUUACAAGAUCCACUCUGGUGUGAACCUAGUACAUCCAGCCGUAAAACGAGGAACUUCCACCUGCUCAAACCCAGCAUGACAUGUUCCUAAGUAUUCUCUACUCCAGAGCAGAGGCUGCUGCCUCUGCACAGAUUCCUCUGCUGCAACCCUGGAGCUCUGGGAAGAGCAGCUGAGCUGACUUAUGUGGUGCUGCCAACACCAUCUGCUCUGAAGCAGAAAGACUACUUAAUAGGCAAAAGCAGCUGCCAGUUUAGGCUUCCAUGUACUCUCUCAGUUCCCUCCAGGUUGACCUGGUGUGACCACCCUUUCUAGGACUCACCAAAGAAUUCAUCUAUUCAUCCAAUCAACUGAGCACAUGCCAUGUACCAAGCAAGAACUGGGCAUGCCAUCGUGAUAAAAAAUAGACACAGCUGCUGUCUUCUUAGUGUUUCCAGUCUUAAAGGGAAACCAGAUCUUAAGCAAACAAGUCAUCAAACACAGACCGUGUUAAAUGCUAUGAAGGAAAGGUAGAGGCUGGUAGGAGAAUGGCAAAGGGCUUAACCUAGGCCAAAGCUCAGAUAUGGUCUCUGAGGAAGUUCCUAGCUGUGGAACUUUACUGUAGAGAAGUCCAGUGGGCUGACUGAAGGCUUUAGAAGAAAGAGGAUUGUCUCUAGUAGAAGGAAGAGCAAGAGCAAAAGCUCUGUGACUGGAGGGAACAUGGUGAACUCCAAAGUCUCCCAACAACUAACAGACUGAUCUUGGGCUGUGCCUGGAUGCUGAGACUCUUCCUUGGGGAUAUAUAUAUAUAUUCCUUACAUUAUUUGGUCAAAUAAAGAGCAAUAG